RNAcentral lists this ribosomal RNA (497 nucleotides) under uncultured bacterium. Its description in RNAcentral is "partial 16S ribosomal RNA". It matches the Rfam family "Bacterial small subunit ribosomal RNA", at positions 28 to 507 of the family's 1533-position model. The record is from RNAcentral.
GAUGAACGCUGGCGGCGUGCCUAAUACAUGCAAGUCGAGCGAACGGACGGGAAGCUUGCUUCUCUGAUGUUAGCGGCGGACGGGUGAGUAACACGUGGAUAACCUACCUAUAAGACUGGGAUAACUUCGGGAAACCGGAGCUAAUACCGGAUAAUAUUUUGAACCGCAUGGUUCAAAAGUGAAAGGCGGUCUUGCUGUCACUUAUAGAUGGAUCCGCGCUGCAUUAGCUAGUUGGUAAGGUAACGGCUUACCAAGGCAACGAUGCAUAGCCGACCUGAGAGGGUGAUCGGCCACACUGGAACUGAGACACGGUCCAGACUCCUACGGGAGGCAGCAGUAGGGAAUCUUCCGCAAUGGGCGAAAGCCUGACGGAGCAACGCCGCGUGAGUGAUGAAGGUCUUCGGAUCGUAAAACUCUGUUAUUAGGGAAGAACAUAUGUGUAAGUAACUGUGCACAUCUUGACGGUACCUAAUCAGAAAGCCACGGCUAACUACGUG